AGGUCACUUCAGAACCAUGCUGAAUAAGUCAUGACAAAAGAACCUGCCAGGUGUGAGUCCAUUCCAUUACAGAGGGCCCUUGUGGACAGUGAGAAAGUAGGAACAAGCAGGAGCAUUGUACCACAGCCAGCAUCCACCUAAGAGACUGUUUGGCUGGAGGCUACACAUCCUAAGGACACUGUAGAACAAACCUCAGUGGACUUCCUCAUCAAAUAUUCAGGCUGAGUGGAGGUCCAUCAAACUGUGGAGCUGUCCGGCCCAGACCACCCCGGGCAGGACGUGUUGUCCGUUUAACUCUGCUGUGUCAGGUGUCAGCUUGCAGGCCAAGUCGCAGAUUGUGAUUGGGUUUCAGCUCCUGAGUGACGUUAAGCUGCUCUCCCGCUAGUCACCAGAAUGACCUCGUCCUCACGGACACAGCCACUGAGUGCAGGAACUUGGCAUUGAGGCACAACAAAGAGCUUCUGAUCUGGCAGAGUGUGUGUAGGUACCUGAAAUACCUGCUACCACCUGACAACCCAUCUGAAGGCUAGGGGAUCAUGUCACCAACGUUUCUGCAGAUUCUUCAACGGUAAACUGAAACAUCUGUAAAGUAGAUUCAUUUUCAAAUCAAUUUCCCCCCCAUGGAAGGCCUUUAAUAUAUAUUUGAAAAAGCAGUCAAAUACUGUAUGACACUGCAAAUAGGUCAAUGUAUAGCGUACAUAGAAUAAUGUUGAGCUAAUAAGUAAAUGUCUGAAAUAAUAUGCCAUACAACAGAUCCAGCGAGCACAAAGGCUGUGAAACCCAGCUGAUGUCUCAAGUCCCCCCACCCCCCAACACACACACACAUGCCGGCCCAUGACUCCUAGCUCCUAACCAGCCUCUCGGUGGCUGCGGUGGGACACAGGGAGCCACCCUUGACAAUGAUGGAUUUGACAGCAGGAAAGUGUUAAUGAUAUUCUCUCUUUGAUGGCCGGGGCUACUUCACACGCAUUUGCAUUUCCAUUCAUCAUCCCAGCAUUUAUCAUUUGGAGGCGGGUGCCAGAUCUAAUUACAGUGCAGACUAACAGGGUGACACGCGGAAGAGACCAGCCACUCUUUCAACAAGAGAAAAAAAAAAGAAAAAAAAAAACACAGGAAAGUUUCCAGCAGGAAACGCACCCAUGUAGCACCAAACCCAAUUAACUUCACUCUAAAUGAAGUCAUUUGAGGCCUCUUCAUUAGAAUUAGCUGAGGAAGAAGGUGGCAAGGGGGAUGGGAUAAAUAAAUAAAGAAAGGAUAAGAUUUGGGUUUCAUAACUGACUCGUCUCGGCUCCGUCUCUCUCUCACUCUCUCUUUCAAACCUUGUCUUUCUUGUGGGUGAUUCAAGCAGUGAUCCAAAGAGACAACAUGUGAGGUUCAUGAUUAUUUCCUGAUAAUGCUAUCAACUGUAAUUAUUUGUGACCAGUCACGUGUUACAA
Molecule: long non-coding RNA, 1436 nt
Organism: Hypomesus transpacificus
Lineage: Eukaryota; Metazoa; Chordata; Actinopteri; Osmeriformes; Osmeridae
Exons: 4
Source: RefSeq, a predicted model, not a curated record